UUUGAGGAUUUUUUAAAAUCCACUUAUAUUCAAUAUUAUGAUUGAU
Otolemur garnettii (small-eared galago) is the source of this 46-nucleotide non-coding RNA. The record is from Rfam. NCBI's taxonomy places the organism in Eukaryota, Metazoa, Chordata, Mammalia, Primates, Galagidae.